RNAcentral lists this ribosomal RNA (424 nucleotides) under Fusobacteriota bacterium. RNAcentral describes it as "Fusobacteria bacterium partial 16S ribosomal RNA". It matches the Rfam family "Bacterial small subunit ribosomal RNA", at positions 355 to 776 of the family's 1533-position model. The record is from RNAcentral. Lineage: Bacteria; Fusobacteriati; Fusobacteriota.
UGAGGAAUAUUGGUCAAUGGUCGAGAGACUGAACCAGCCAAGUCGCGUGAAGGAUGAUUGCCCUAUGGGCUGUAAACUUUUUUUACAAGGGAAUAAAAUGAGAUACGUGUAUUUUAUUGCAUGUACCUUUGGAAUAAGCAUCGUCUAACUUCGUGCAAGCAGCCGCGGUAAUACGGAUGAUGAGAGCGUUAUUCGGAUUUAGUGGGUUUAAAGGGUGCGUAGGUAGGCUGUUAAGUCAGCGGUGAAAGUUUGUCGCUUAACGAUAAAAUUGCCGUUGAAACUGGUACUUUUGAGUAUAGAUGAAGUAGGCGGAAUUCUUGGUGUAGCGGUGAAAUGCAUAGAGAUCGCUCAUAACUCCAAUUGCAAAGGUAGCUUGCUAAGGUAUAACUGACACUGAAGCACGAAAGCGUGGGUAUCAAACAGG